Molecule: ribosomal RNA, 453 nt
Filed under: Corynebacterium matruchotii
Lineage: Bacteria; Bacillati; Actinomycetota; Actinomycetes; Mycobacteriales; Corynebacteriaceae
Description: bacterial SSU rRNA
Rfam family: Bacterial small subunit ribosomal RNA
Source: RNAcentral
GACGAACGCUGGCGGCGUGCUUAACACAUGCAAGUCGAACGGAAAGGCCCCCACCUUGGUGGGGGUGCUCGAGUGGCGAACGGGCGAGUAACACGUGGGUGAUCUGCCCUGUACUUCGGGAUAAGCUUGGGAAACUGGGUCUAAUACCGGAUAGGACCAUGGUUUAGUGUCUCAUGGUGGAAAAAUUAUUGUUUUGGUGCAGGAUGAGCUCGCGGCCUAUCAGCUUGUUGGUGGGGUAAUGGCCUACCAAGGCGUCGACGGGUAGCCGGCCUGAGAGGGUGGACGGCCACAUUGGGACUGAGAUACGGCCCAGACUCCUACGGGAGGCAGCAGUGGGGAAUAUUGCACAAUGGGCGCAAGCCUGAUGCAGCGACGCCGCGUGGGGGAUGACGGCCUUCGGGUUGUAAACUCCUUUCGUUAGGGACGAAGCCAUACUUUUUGGGUGUGGGACGG